Molecule: transfer RNA, 72 nt
Filed under: Cavia porcellus (domestic guinea pig)
Lineage: Eukaryota; Metazoa; Chordata; Mammalia; Rodentia; Caviidae
Rfam family: tRNA
About the family: Transfer RNA (tRNA) molecules are approximately 80 nucleotides in length. Their secondary structure includes four short double-helical elements and three loops (D, anti-codon, and T loops).
Source: Rfam by way of RNAcentral
AUGGAUAUAGCCCAGCGGCACAGUAUCUGCCUGACAAGCACAAGGUCCUGAGUUCGAUUCCCAGUACCAAAA